GCAGGAGAAAAGUUUUCCAUUGAGAGGCUGGAGUGGAGCUCUAGGGAUUGGUGGGGUUGUCACCAGCCAUACCAGUGCAUUCUAAGGCACAAGUUGUUUGCUUUGGCCCAGAAACAGCUGGCAGUUGGCCAGUGCCCAGCCACCUUGUCCUUUGCCCAUGAAGGCUCUAGUAAUUAGCAAUAUUCACCGAAUGAAUCACAGUUGCUAUCAUAUCUUUCCUCCGGAGCAGCCACAGCAGAGCUUACUGGGAAAAGCUUUGGUGAUGGUGCUUCAUGGUUCCCUGGGGUAGAUGCACAGGCUGAAGAGGAGGGGCAGGGAAAUUUUUGAGUCUGAUGUUUUAGAGGAAAGCCUUACCCCCUCUCCCUUGAAGUUUGAUUCUACAUACAACU
RNAcentral lists this long non-coding RNA (389 nucleotides) under Homo sapiens (human). RNAcentral describes it as "non-protein coding lnc-TMEM268-3:1". Lineage: Eukaryota; Metazoa; Chordata; Mammalia; Primates; Hominidae. The record is from RNAcentral.